AAACAUCUUUUCUUGUUAGUUUUUGAAGUAUGGCCUGCCCGCUGACAUUGAGUGUUGAAGGGCCGCGGUAUUUUGACCGUGCAAAGGUAGCAUAAUCAUUAGUUCUUUAAUUGUGAUCUGGAAUGAAUGGCUUGACGAGGCACGAGCUGUCUUAAUGUUGAAUGUUUUAUUGAAUUUGGUCUUUGAGUUAAAAUUCUUAGAUGUUUUUAUGGGACGAGAAGACCCUAUAGAGUUUGACAUUUGGUUUAUUUAUUUGUUGGUUGUUUGUUUAUUUUGUUGGUGAGUAGGCUUUUUGUUUUGUUGGGGUGAUGAGAGGAAUGUAGUUAACUCUUCUUUGUUUUGAUUAUAUUUAUUUAUAGUUAUUUGAUCCAUUUAUUUUGAUUAUAAGACUAAAUUACCUUAGGGAUAACAGCGUAAA
Molecule: ribosomal RNA, 418 nt
Filed under: Coptotermes curvignathus
Lineage: Eukaryota; Metazoa; Arthropoda; Insecta; Blattodea; Rhinotermitidae
Description: partial 16S ribosomal RNA
Source: RNAcentral